This 268-nucleotide ribosomal RNA is filed under the name Paenibacillus popilliae. RNAcentral describes it as "partial 16S ribosomal RNA". It matches the Rfam family "Bacterial small subunit ribosomal RNA", at positions 1266 to 1533 of the family's 1533-position model. The record is from RNAcentral. Lineage: Bacteria; Bacillati; Bacillota; Bacilli; Caryophanales; Paenibacillaceae.
AGCGAAUCCUAAAAAGCCAGUCUCAGUUCGGAUUGCAGGCUGCAACUCGCCUGCAUGAAGUCGGAAUUGCUAGUAAUCGCGGAUCAGCAUGCCGCGGUGAAUACGUUCCCGGGUCUUGUACACACCGCCCGUCACACCACGAGAGUUUACAACACCCGAAGUCGGUGGGGUAACCGCAAGGAGCCAGCCGCCGAAGGUGGGGUAGAUGAUUGGGGUGAAGUCGUAACAAGGUAGCCGUAUCGGAAGGUGCGGCUGGAUCACCUCCUUU